RNAcentral lists this ribosomal RNA (617 nucleotides) under uncultured bacterium. Its description in RNAcentral is "bacterial SSU rRNA". It matches the Rfam family "Bacterial small subunit ribosomal RNA", at positions 28 to 638 of the family's 1533-position model. The record is from RNAcentral.
AUUGAACGCUGGCGGCGUGCCUAACACAUGCAAGUCGAGCGGUAACAGGUGUAGCAAUACAUGCUGACGAGCGGCGAACGGGUGAGUAAUGCUUUGGAAUCUUCCCAGUAGUGGGGAAUAACCAGUCGAAAGAUUGGCUAAUACCGCAUACGUCUGUAAAGGGAAAGCGGGGGCUCGUAAGACCUCGCGCUAUUGGAUGAGCCAAAGUCGGAUUAGCUUGUUGGUGGGGUAAUGGCCUACCAAGGCGACAAUCCGUAGCUGGUCUGAGAGGACGACCAGCCACACCGGAACUGAGACACGGUCCGGACUCCUACGGGAGGCAGCAGUGGGGAAUAUUGGACAAUGGGGGAAACCCUGAUCCAGCGACGCCGCGUGUGUGAAGAAGGCCUGCGGGUUGUAAAGCACUUUUAGUGGGGACAAAAAGCUACGGAUUAAUACUCUGUGGUCUUGAUUUAACCCAAAGAAAAAGCACCGGCUAACUCUGUGCCAGCAGCCGCGGUAAUACAGAGGGUGCGAGCGUUAAUCGGAAUUACUGGGCGUAAAGCGCGCGUAGACGGUUUUGUAAGUCAGAUGUGAAAUCCCUGGGCUCAACCUGGGAACUGCAUUUGAAACUGCAU